This 85-nucleotide non-coding RNA is filed under the name Deinococcus aquatilis. RNAcentral's name for it is "c-di-GMP sequence". It matches the Rfam family "Cyclic di-GMP-II riboswitch aptamer". The record is from RNAcentral. Lineage: Bacteria; Thermotogati; Deinococcota; Deinococci; Deinococcales; Deinococcaceae. RNAcentral also lists the same sequence under 1 other name.
UAAGCGAAGAGAUACAAAGAACCCCAUCCUGUAAUCCGGGCACCUCGGAUGGGGGGAGCGAGUGGUGCGACCGGCUUUUCGAUCA